This 253-nucleotide ribosomal RNA is filed under the name uncultured Lachnospiraceae bacterium. RNAcentral's name for it is "partial 16S ribosomal RNA". It matches the Rfam family "Bacterial small subunit ribosomal RNA", at positions 524 to 776 of the family's 1533-position model. Lineage: Bacteria; Bacillati; Bacillota; Clostridia; Lachnospirales; Lachnospiraceae. The record is from RNAcentral.
UACGGAGGAUGCGAGCGUUAUCCGGAUUUACUGGGUGUAAAGGGAGCGUAGGCGGCAGGGCAAGCCUGAUGUGAAAGCCCGGGGCCCAACCCCCGGACUGCUUUGGAAACUGUAUAGCUAGAGUGCAGGAGAGGUAAGUGGAAUUCCUAGUGUAGCGGUGAAAUGCGUAGAUAUUAGGAGGAACACCAGUGGCGAAGGCGGCUUACUGGACUGUAACUGACGUUGAGGCUCGAAAGCGUGGGGAGCAAACAGG